GUGGGGAAUAUUGGACAAUGGGCGAAAGCCUGAUCCAGCCAUGCCGCGUGUGUGAAGAAGGUCUUCGGAUUGUAAAGCACUUUAAGUUGGGAGGAAGGGCAGUAAGUUAAUACCUUGCUGUUUUGACGUUACCGACAGAAUAAGCACCGGCUAACUUCGUGCCAGCAGCCGCGGUAAUACGAAGGGUGCAAGCGUUAAUCGGAAUUACUGGGCGUAAAGCGCGCGUAGGUGGUUUUGUAAGUUGGAGGUGAAAUCACCGGGCUCAACCUGGGAACUGCCUCCAAAACUGCAUGACUAGAGUACGGUAGAGGGUAGUGGAAUUUCCUGUGUAGCGGUGAAAUGCGUAGAUAUAGGAAGGAACACCAGUGGCGAAGGCGACUACCUGGACUGAUACUGACACUGAGGUGCGAAAGCGUGGGGAGCAAACAGGAUUAGAUACCCGAGUAGUCC
Molecule: ribosomal RNA, 450 nt
Filed under: uncultured bacterium
Lineage: Bacteria
Description: bacterial SSU rRNA
Rfam family: Bacterial small subunit ribosomal RNA
Source: RNAcentral